This 842-nucleotide ribosomal RNA is filed under the name Escherichia coli. RNAcentral's name for it is "partial 23S ribosomal RNA". It matches the Rfam family "Bacterial large subunit ribosomal RNA", at positions 398 to 1239 of the family's 2925-position model. The record is from RNAcentral. Lineage: Bacteria; Pseudomonadati; Pseudomonadota; Gammaproteobacteria; Enterobacterales; Enterobacteriaceae.
UGUGAGCUCGAUGAGUAGGGCGGGACACGUGGUAUCCUGUCUGAAUAUGGGGGGACCAUCCUCCAAGGCUAAAUACUCCUGACUGACCGAUAGUGAACCAGUACCGUGAGGGAAAGGCGAAAAGAACCCCGGCGAGGGGAGUGAAAAAGAACCUGAAACCGUGUACGUACAAGCAGUGGGAGCACAGAGCAAUCUGUGUGACUGCGUACCUUUUGUAUAAUGGGUCAGCGACUUAUAUUCUGUAGCAAGGUUAACCGAAUAGGGGAGCCGAAGGGAAACCGAGUCUUAACUGGGCGUUAAGUUGCAGGGUAUAGACCCGAAACCCGGUGAUCUAGCCAUGGGCAGGUUGAAGGUUGGGUAACACUAACUGGAGGACCGAACCGACUAAUGUUGAAAAAUUAGCGGAUGACUUGUGGCUGGGGGUGAAAGGCCAAUCAAACCGGGAGAUAGCUGGUUCUCCCCGAAAGCUAUUUAGGUAGCGCCUCGUGAAUUCAUCUCCGGGGGUAGAGCACUGUUUCGGCAAGGGGGUCAUCCCGACUUACCAACCCGAUGCAAACUGCGAAUACCGGAGAAUGUUAUCACGGGAGACACACGGCGGGUGCUAACGUCCGUCGUGAAGAGGGAAACAACCCAGACCGCCAGCUAAGGUCCCAAAGUCAUGGUUAAGUGGGAAACGAUGUGGGAAGGCCCAGACAGCCAGGAUGUUGGCUUAGAAGCAGCCAUCAUUUAAAGAAAGCGUAAUAGCUCACUGGUCGAGUCGGCCUGCGCGGAAGAUGUAACGGGGCUAAACCAUGCACCGAAGCUGCGGCAGCGACACUGUGUGUUGUUGGGUAGGGGAGCGU